RNAcentral lists this long non-coding RNA (391 nucleotides) under Physcomitrium patens. Its description in RNAcentral is "long non-coding RNA (PPAT_LNC007725)". The record is from RNAcentral. Lineage: Eukaryota; Viridiplantae; Streptophyta; Bryopsida; Funariales; Funariaceae.
AAAAGAGAGUAGUAAACAACCUUUAAUAUCAAAUGAAAAUUUUAAAAAAGAGAAUAAUUUACUAUUUUUAAGAAAAAAAUCAAUGUUAGAAAAUUAAACUAUUUGUUUAAAGGUGAAUACUUUGCAAUCUUCAAAAUACAAUAAUAGGAUUAGAAUAAUUCACUCACUUUUAAAAUAGGAUAAGAACAAUAAGUUAACACUCUUGUCAAAUUUUCAAGGAUAUAAAUCUCAAAGAAAGAAAUCUUUAAUACACUCUUGUAUCACUUGAAAAGACUAAAAAAUCACUCAAAGAUGAUAAUAUAUUGAACUAAAAUAGCUACUACCAAAGACAAGAAGAUUAAAAAUUCUUGAAAUAAGACUAACGACUAAAGGUAUUGACAAGAGUAAAGAA